UGUAAUAUGCCUGAUUAAAGGAUUAUUUUGAUAGAAUAAAUCAUGUGUUUACACUAUUACAA
This 62-nucleotide transfer RNA is filed under the name Macrocheles muscaedomesticae. RNAcentral's name for it is "tRNA-Ile". The record is from RNAcentral. Lineage: Eukaryota; Metazoa; Arthropoda; Arachnida; Mesostigmata; Macrochelidae.